This is a long non-coding RNA of Zonotrichia albicollis (white-throated sparrow), 217 nucleotides long. RefSeq lists it as uncharacterized. The record is from RefSeq and is a predicted model, not a curated record. Lineage: Eukaryota; Metazoa; Chordata; Aves; Passeriformes; Passerellidae.
GUGGAAAUAAAUGCUGUUGCUGGGAGGAAGUGCUUCUGAAGGAGGGGAAUGGGAGCUUUGUGUGUCUCAGAACAGAACCUGAGCUUACCAGGUCCUGUCAGUCAUAGAUACUGCAAUGGAACUGCCAUAAAUGCACUGAAGGGCAUAGGAGGGGAGGUGUUCAGAAGGAACCUGGAAGAUCUCUCUUUCAAGCAGCAUGUCUCCCAAGCAAAGCCUC